UGGGGAAUGAUGUAACGGUAGCAUACCCGGCUCUGAACCGGUUCGUCUAGGUUCGAAUCCUAGUUCCCCAG
Molecule: transfer RNA, 71 nt
Filed under: Tuwongella immobilis
Lineage: Bacteria; Pseudomonadati; Planctomycetota; Planctomycetia; Gemmatales; Gemmataceae
Description: Planctomycetes bacterium MBLW1 tRNA
Rfam family: tRNA
About the family: Transfer RNA (tRNA) molecules are approximately 80 nucleotides in length.
Source: Rfam by way of RNAcentral